RNAcentral lists this ribosomal RNA (468 nucleotides) under uncultured bacterium. Its description in RNAcentral is "partial 16S ribosomal RNA". It matches the Rfam family "Bacterial small subunit ribosomal RNA", at positions 28 to 507 of the family's 1533-position model. The record is from RNAcentral.
GACGAACGCUGGCGGCGUGCUUAACACAUGCAAGUCGAACGGAAAGGCCCUGCUUUUGUGGGGUGCUCGAGUGGCGAACGGGUGAGUAACACGUGAGUAACCUGCCCUUGACUUUGGGAUAACUUCAGGAAACUGGGGCUAAUACCGGAUAGGAGCUCCUGCUGCAUGGUGGGGGUUGGAAAGUUUCGGCGGUUGGGGAUGGACUCGCGGCUUAUCAGCUUGUUGGUGGGGUGGCGGCUUACCAAGGCUUUGACGGGUAGCCGGCCUGAGAGGGUGACCGGCCACAUUGGGACUGAGAUACGGCCCAGACUCCUACGGGAGGCAGCAGUGGGGAAUAUUGCACAAUGGGCGGAAGCCUGAUGCAGCAACGCCGCGUGCGGGAUGACGGCCUUCGGGUUGUAAACCGCUUUCGCCUGUGACGAAGCGUGAGUGACGGUAAUGGGUAAAGAAGCACCGGCUAACUACGUG